Long non-coding RNA from Haplochromis burtoni (Burton's mouthbrooder), 6030 nucleotides. RefSeq lists it as uncharacterized. The record is from RefSeq and is a predicted model, not a curated record. The transcript is spliced from 3 exons. NCBI's taxonomy places the organism in Eukaryota, Metazoa, Chordata, Actinopteri, Cichliformes, Cichlidae.
GAGCAGACGGCUGAGUUUAUUAAACUCCACCGAGACAGCUGGUGACGCAAAUCUGAAGGCUAGACCGUCUAAUUUCACAGUCUCGCACUUCUGGCCUUCUUGGUCUUUGGAGAACCCAGCCCAUGUGGAGACCACAAAAGCCGGGUCCUCCGAAGGAUGCAGCCCCUGAAUUUUGACACAGCUAUUGAGUCUGAAAAACAUUUUUAAUGCACAAAAUAUUUGCAUAGAUUUUACACAUUAAUGUUAAUGGUAUUUCAUGUGGCCUGUAGGUUUUUUUGCUAGCUUAUUGAUGAGAUUAGGUUUGUUAGUUCCCUUUUAUGAUCCAAUGCUGUUUCCCUAGCCCUGUCUCCUUGGUUGUCUUUCUGCAUCAUGUUUGGAUCCCAGGAAUUUAUUUAUUUGUUGUCCUGUUUCCUGUUUAGCUACUUCCUGUGUUACUUUGGUGGUCAUUUGUCUCUUGUGCUUUGUAUGUAGUAUAACUUCCUUUGUCUUGUUAUCCCUGAUUUGUUCCCACUAUAUCUCUCACCUGUUUCCUCUGCCAUCAUUAUCUGUUUUGGUGCUAGUUUCAGUCUUUAUGCAAAUGUACUGUUUAUAAGUGUAGCCAAGUGAACUAAUACUAGGCAUGGAAAGGGUUUAAAAAGAGGGGAUUACGUUUUUGACUGGUUGCCUGUCUACCAGAGGUCUUUUGUAGAGUUGUCAUGGUGAUGACUAGACCUCGCGUUUUGGGGGUAUACUGUCCCUUUAAGAGCCGCCGUAAGCCAGAGCACGCAUGCACUCAAGUUUGCGUCACACACUGAGCGCUGUGAGCGGGAGCACUGGAGAGUGACUGCAAAAGAUUCUGUGGCUAGCUACAGGGUAAAUGUGCUAAAAAGUGUAGCAUACUGCAAAAUAUUGUCACCAGUGUUGUAGUAGACUGUAAUUAGUUAACUUUCUUUAGCGAUGACUCCAUGUUUGUGACCAUUUCUGUAGAGUUCUUAACGUGCGACGGGUGUAUGUUUAAUGGUCAUGUGCUGUGAAAGGGACUGAAGAGCGGGUUGGCAGGGGAGAUCACUUGUUGUGUGAUUCUUGUGUGUGUACUUGUCCUAGCACAGUAGCUGUGUGGAGAAACCGAAGUGAGUUCAUGAUGUUCUCCCAUAGAAAUGUAGUAUGUUUAAAAGAGAGUUUACAGUGUACUUUAUUGCCAGUUGAACUGUGAAGUUGUGGGAUGUAAACAAUGUGUUUAUUUGUUUUGUUUUCUCUUUUUUUGUAUUUGUUUCUUGACAGGUCACAACUGUUGUCUAUACUGUUUGAAUUUAACGUGUACAUAUGAUAGUUACUGUUGUCUCAGACCCUGAAAGACAGCCGAGGCAAAACAAAACAGGAGCACCAGAAAGACAAAAAACAAAACACAAGUCCAGCACCAAAAAACAAUGAAAUGAAAUACACCAUAGCCCAAGAAAAUGGAGUCCAAAACAGAAGAGUUCAGGGGUCCGACCGUGCGGAUGGCAACGGCGGCGACGUGGAAACAGUCCGGGAGGCCGACCGUAAGGAAGGCAACGACGAUGACGACAGCACUGGUCCAGGGGCCAGCCGUGCGGAAGGCAACGGCGGCGACUCAGGCGAAGGGGGUCUGGGGGCCGGCCGCGAGGAAGGCCACGGCGGCGAUGUGGAACCAGUUCAGGGGGCCGACCGUGCGGUCGGAAACGGCGGCGACCCAGGCGACGGAGGUCCGGAAGCCGGCCGCGCGGAAGGCAGCGGUGCCGAAGUGGACACAAUUCAGGGGGCCGACCGUGCGGAAGGCAACGGUGGAGACUCAGGUGAAGGGAGUCUGGGGGCUGCCCACGAUGGCGAUGGCGCCUGGCCAGUGGCCUAGAAAGUGGCCGUUUAGCUGCAGACCCAAACGAGGCUGGGCCAGGCGACGCUGAAGACACGGAGGCUGGGCCAGUCAGCUGAUUUCAGUUUGAUGUUGGAAGAGGAAAAUACUGGCGCAGUCUGCAGUGUGGAUAUGGACGCUGUUGCACAAAAGAUCAUGAGCAUGAUGAUAAAGUCAAGACUGCUCAGGGACAGAAACAACUGCAUCAUACUGUUAACACAACUCAGCUCUUCGCAAGCACAGACAGCAAGCUAACACUAAGCAAGCCAAGAACCCAGAGUGAUGCUAAACCUGAAUAAAUGCUGACACCAGCCCAGCAUCGUAAUAAAGAGCCCUCAUUUGUGGUGAAGUCAGCCGCCGCUGAACUUCAACAGGUAACAAACUGAUGAACAGUCAGACCGCAGCCUCCAUUUCUACCAUUUCAAGCAGAAUCACCACAUUAAAGUCUCUUUGCACUGGUUUUCACCUUUGCUUUGUGUUAUCAGCUUUGUGCUCAUACCUAAAGACUAAGAGAAAGAUCAUGUGUGUCCUCAUUAGGAUAGGGAUUUGUGUUGGUGUGUGGGGCUGUAGCUUCAGGUUUAUAUUGUUAAAAGGUAAUUAUGAGUCAGUGUGUUUCAGAUCAUUUUACAGAGUAACAUGAAAGUAACAUAACAAGUAGUAUAGCAAAUGUCUUUCUCCUGGUUGUAAUUAAGUAACAUAUUGCAUUACUUUUAAGAAAAGUGUUCUGUGUAAUAUGUGUAAUAAUUACUUUUUUUGAGUAAUGACCCCAACACUGAUCACAAGAAAGAGGGGAAAUUCCUCCAACAUGCACAAACAUUUGAUGCAUGUAAUUAUUUUUGCAUGAAUGUGAUGUCUUGGAUAUGCUGCUUAGGAUGGUGACUCUCAAAGAAGAGCCAAUGAGAAUGAAUAGGGGAAUUGAUAAUGGGAUCGGAAUCGCUAAAUUCUUAUCAAUUCCCAUCCUUACUUAUAAGGAUCUCUUUCAUAUCAGAAUCACUGUGGUUAUUGCACAUAACAAGUUCUCCUGAGAACAUUUGUUCAUGUGCUGGAUGCAUUUUGUAUCAAGACAAUGACAUGUACUGCUGAUAGAAGAUAAACAGAGUUGUCUGAUGCCUUAUAGUACAUCUUAUCAAUGAAACUAGCUUCUGAUUGGCCAGUAGUUACAAGUGAAAGGCCUGACAUCUCUGUAACUGAAUAUGAAUGAGAUAAUAGUUUACAGUAAACUAAGUGGGGCGCUGAACUGACUCAUCACUGGUUUUCCUUGGAGCAUGUCUGACUCUGCUUGUUUGACAAAAUCAUUUUAAGUUCAAGUGAGGACAAUCCUCAUCAAAGGCUCAGUAACUAAAGCACAAACAAAAACUGGUCAAGACUGCUUCUGGCAUGCCACAUGUGAAUUAUUAAAAGGUCACCAUUAGCUUGAUAUGGGCAGACAGAUCUAUUGGUUCCAAAUCUACUUUGUGUACCAAAUGAUCCCAACAUGACUCUGUAGAACAAAAUGUUUCAUUAACUUGGAACACACAGAGCCUGCUGAUAAAACUUUGGGUUUGCAUGUAAAAACACUCAUUAUGCUGUUGUAUUCCUUUUCUACUUCCAAUACAAAUUCCUGUAAAUCUUGUGUCAUCAAAAUAGGGAAAAACAAAUACACAGCAUGAGAGCAGCAGAGAAAAACACACUCCUCCGCCUGAGGAGAGUUCCAUAAGUGAGUUGUGAAAUGUAAUAUUUAAGCUUGGUUUUUUUUUUUUAAAUAAAAAGCCUAGUCUUUUCUUUUUAUUUUAUUUUAUUUUAUUACAAUAGAACAAUACAGAAUGCAUAAAACUAGUAAAUAAAAGAUAUGUAAAUAUAUUAUGAACAAAAAAAGGGGGGAAAAGAAUUACAUGGUUUAAUUUGAAUGCUGUGUCCUCCUCUGUUCUGUUUCCUGUGUUUCCAAUUGGCUUCUGCCCUCCUCUGCAUUAUAUUUUGUUUUCUACUGUGAGUUACCAGAAAUAAAAGCUGAGUUUUGAGUUCACAUUCUGUCCCCCAAGAACUGUAUCUGGACCCAGUCCUGCCUACUGUAUGAUACAAUGAGACAAGAAGAAAAAUAAAACUGUAGAGAAACUAUCAUGAGUGAGACCAUGUAGACACAUAAAUGAACUUAAGCUAGGGGAAUUGACAGGAAACACUGAGGGAACAAAACAAGCACUAAAACUAGGAUUGGGUUAUAUCAAUAACUGAAGUCACUAAAAUGCUGACUAAAACAAACAUCAAUAAACAAAACAACGAACACCAAACACAGAAUACAAUGCAAAAGGCUCAAAAACCCUGGUAAUUGACCCUCCAGUCCCUGUCAUGAUGACAGGGACACUAGUGAAUACCAGUGGUGAAGGAGCCUGUCAAACUGAAGAAGGAUACUUUCCAGGCUUGGUAGGCUUGGACAAAAGGGGCAAAAGGGCUGGGGUUUUACCAGUUAGAGAAGCAAAAAGCUGGGUGUGAGAGAUGUUUGGGAAGGCAUCAAAGAAGUUAUGGCAAGGCAUCCAGCAACUCAAAAAGGAAAAGCAGGGUAUUGCUCUGAUUGUGUUCGGUUUGGGAGGAGAAAUACUGAUUUAGAGUCGGGAUACUUUUGGGGAAAAAGCACUUUGGAACCCCUAAGCCUGACCAAAGCAUCCUAUGUGAAGACGACAGAGCCUGAAUACUUGAGGUAACUCCCACCAUGGACCACUAGUCAUUCAACAUCCCAACGCUCAUCUAUGGUGAAGAGUAACAUAUGAAAGAGUAACCUUUGAAUGCAAGCAGCCAAAAUGAGUUUCCUGUGUAGGGUUGAUGGGCUCAGCCCAGGAUACACAUGGUGUGAAGCUUAGACAUCUGGAAUGAUCUUGAAGUAGAUACUCUUUCUUCUGUGAGCCAGCUCUUUUAGGUAUCUGGUUAAAUGCCUCCUGGGGACACCUUGAAAACAAGUGAAUACUAGUAAUGUCUUGACUUCUUUAUCUAACUUUCCUGACUAAAUACCUGCAGAUCCAGUGAUGUUCCAGUCACCCUCAGCUGUAUUUGAGUUCUGUGCUAAUUAACAAAUGUUAGCAAGUUAACAUGCUAGAAGACAGUAACUGACAAAGAAAAAUUGCUCAACUAUUAUCAUGUUGACAAUUGUUGAGAUGGUGACCUUAGGUUUUGCAAAUAAUGCAGAGAUACCAAAUGUAGCGUGACUGCUACAUUUGGAUGAGAUUACCAUUACAGGGCAAGAGUUAUUUUUUUAAAUGUAGUAUGUUAUAAACAAGGCCAUUCAAAAAUAAAAAGUUUUACAAAAAAAGUAGUAUUAUCUUUUUCUGAAAAAUGACUGUACCAGCAUGUCGAAGCAAUAAUUUGCAUCUGCACCUGGCUGCACUCUGCAGAACUGUGGGACUUUGUUUUUGAUUGCUUUCCAAUUUGUGACCCAGUUUUGGGUGUAAUGACGCACCUGCUGAGAAAAGCCUGGGUUGAUAAAUGUCUAGGAUUCAAGAUAAAUACUGACUGGAGAUAAUGGUUUACCCACCUUUGACUUAACAGUGCAUCGUUGCUUAAUGUCACAAUCUUAAAUGAUCCUUUAAAAUGCUCUUUUCCUCCCAAUUUCCCCUCUCUCUCUUUGGUUCCCAUUUGCGUCAGUGAUCAGACAUAAUUGGUUCUGAUUCACAAUAAGCCGACGGCUUGAAUGUGCUGUGCAGGGAGCAGUUGAGUUGUUAGAAUGCUGACUAAGAAUGAGUUGCUCUCAGGUCCAGAACGCUCGUGUUUAUUUCUGCAAAGAAUACGAAACACAUUUAUCCUUCCCACCCUGACAAAUGUUGUAACAUUGUAACUCAGUGUCUUCCUCCUCCUCACUGUGUUUGCUUUAGAUGAUAUUGUUUUUAGUGAUACAUUAGGAGGUUUUUAUUGUCAUAAAAAUAUCAGUCAGAACCAGUUUAGGGCUACUGCAGGGACAGACACCCCUACUUGAUUGUGUUUUCUGGGGAUACAAAAAGACAUAUGGAAAAGUAGUCUUGAUUCUCUAUGACCUUAGUAGAAUCUCCUAAUGAAUUUAUGAGCUCAGUCACUAUUUUCACAAUUUUAAGAGUAGAGGCUAAAGAUGUGAAAUAAAGAUGGAGUUUGGUAGUUUGUUCCCUGGCUGCUCCAGUCAGCAUGCCAAAUAUUCUUGGGGAAGAUACACAACAAAAUCUCCAGUGUUAAAUUAACACUAGAGA